GACGAACGCUGGCGGCGUGCUUAACACAUGCAAGUCGAACGGAAAGGCCCUGCUUUUGUGGGGUGCUCGAUUGGCGAACGGGUGAGUAACACGUGAGUAACCUGCCCUUGACUUUGGGAUAACUUCAGGAAACUGGGGCUAAUACCGGAUAGGAGCUCCUGCUGCAUGGUGGUGGUUGGAAAGUUUCGGCGGUUGGGGAUGGACUCGCGGCUUAUCAGCUUGUUGGUGGGGUAGUGGCUUACCAAGGCUUUGACGGGUAGCCGGCCUGAGAGGGUGACCGGCCACAUUGGGACUGAGAGACGGCCCAGACUCCUACGGGAGGCAGCAGUGGGGAAUAUUGCACAAUGGGCGGAAGCCUGAUGCAGCAACGCCGCGUGCGGGAUGACGGCCUUCGGGUUGUAAACCGCUUUCGCCUGUGACGAAGCGUGAGUGACGGUAAUGGGUAAAGAAGCACCGGCUAACUACGUG
Molecule: ribosomal RNA, 468 nt
Filed under: uncultured bacterium
Lineage: Bacteria
Description: partial 16S ribosomal RNA
Rfam family: Bacterial small subunit ribosomal RNA
Source: RNAcentral